Molecule: long non-coding RNA, 841 nt
Organism: Ananas comosus (pineapple)
Lineage: Eukaryota; Viridiplantae; Streptophyta; Magnoliopsida; Poales; Bromeliaceae
Exons: 4
Source: RefSeq, a predicted model, not a curated record
UCUCUUUCUCUCUCUCCCUCUCUUCCUCCCCUUCGCACAGACCCAAAUGGCUACCUACCCCAUCGCCCUCUUUCCCACUCCGUUUCCUCCAACCCCAUUGCCCACUCUCCCACUCCGUCUCCUCCGACUCAUCCUUUUCUAGGGUUUCCUCUUCUCCACCAUUUUCUAGGGUUUCUGACUCACCCGCGUCCUCUCGACCUCGCACGCGAUCGCCGCAUUGGGAGGGAUCAUUCGUCGACCUUCGUGAUCCCUCUUUGCUACUUCUUUUUUGUCGUUUCUGGAUUUGCAGUUUCCAAAUGGGCAGCUCACAUAUGUGGCUGGUGAGGUGUUGACUAGUAGUGCAUUUCUUCCUCUUUUUGGUGGGUUGCUUCAAGCUCAAGGCCGAUAUCCGGGAGAAACAAGAAUUAGCUUUUCUUGCAAGAAUAAGCGAGGUACUCGAAUAACCCCAAUGCUGCAGUUGCCCGAAAAAUCUUUUUCCCUUAGGAUUACAUGGGCCAUAGCUUGGUAGAGAUCCGGCAUCAUGGUUCGACCCAGUGUCCAACUUAGGUCAAUUAUUUGCCUCUUCCAAAAAACUUCAGAAUCUUGAGUCUUCGGGAACUUGCUAUACGUCAGCAUCAUCAAAUCCUUCCAGUGAUAGUUGAUUAUUUCUUUUGUUUUUGGACCUACUAUGUCCUUUAGCAUCAUUUUAUGUUUUGAGCUACUGUGUCAUUUCUAAAAAACUAUUUUUGAAUAUUAGAGUUUUUUAUCAUUUUAUUGAUGUUGAGAAUGUGAGGAACAAUUAGUAUUUUGGUUUCAUUCAAUACUCUUGGCUUAUAUAUGAAUGAAACAACUUUUUUUGCUA